Molecule: non-coding RNA, 1044 nt
Organism: Cyanistes caeruleus (blue tit)
Lineage: Eukaryota; Metazoa; Chordata; Aves; Passeriformes; Paridae
Source: RefSeq, a predicted model, not a curated record
AUUUUUUUGGUUGGCUAUUAGGUUAGAGGGUACAAAGGAGAAAGGGUACAUGGCCUCAACUCUGUGCUGAAGAGAAAGAAAAGUCACUCUAGUGCUUGAAUUACAUCAUAACUUCUGUCUAUUCAUUUAUUCAAGAGACAAUGAAAGAGGAAGUAAAUUUAAACAUUUUUAGGCACUUUCUCUCACUGAAGGGUUAGGAUACUAUUAAGACAUUAUUAUUUUGACUAUUACAUUAUUUUUUCCUUAUGCAUUUAUUAACCUUCCAAUGUCAGAGUAGGGUUCAAGUGACAGAGUUCCUGUCCAGGUCCCAUUGCCUAUAAUUCUUCAGGAAAAAGACCUGUGACAAAAUCUGAAUCAAGCCCAAUGUCAAACAUCACUAAUAUCAAAUAUCUCUGCCACUAUUCCCAACAAGAUUUCCAUUUAAGAGAUUGUUUCUACUUUCAGUUUUUCACAGUGCAUCACUGAGCUCCCCCUGAUGCUGUAGUAAAAGCCUAUAGAUCUAUGCACAACCUGUUCUGUUUUCUGCAAGUUUUUUUUCUUGGCCUGAUAACUUUCCCUUUGAAACCAUCCCCCUUUUUUAUAGGCUGUGCUCUGGGUGGGGUUUAGUACAAAUCUCUUUAAAAGCCCCAGUAGUUGCUCCUUGAGGCCAAGUCUGAGCUGAGCACAGGUGCUGCUGAAUCACAGCUGGACAUGAAAAUAUUCUGCAAUUUCCAGUAUGUGCAGAACUCAUCACUUUCUGAAAUGCCUUUAAGGAAAGGUGAACCAAGAGGGAAGCAAUGUCAAGAGCCAAGGAUUCCUCUUGGGAAACUGUCUUCUAGCUUCUGGAUAUUGGGCAGAAAAAGAUCUUUUGCUUAAGAGAGAUCUGAACUCUGAUCUAAAUUGUGGAGUAUUAAUCAUAUCAUAUGUUCAUCAUAUCUGUAUAUGAUUGCACUUGUCCAUAAUAAGUUUCUUCAGUCUCAGAGGGAUGUAAGAGAGAUGAUCACAAAUAAUGUUGGGUUUCAACAGCCAACCCAAAUCACAUUAAAAACGUCUGUUUUAGCCUCC